AUUCGGGAGCUGCGAGAUGACGCCAGCGUUUUGCGCCAACAGCAUUCCUGGUCGCGCAAUUGAGUUCUUGGUUGGAAAGGAAUUGGUACACUCAAUUAUGGAGGCUGAAAAGUCCUACAAUGUGCAGUCUGCAAGUUGGACAUCCUGGAAAGCUGGUGGUGUAAUUCAGUCUGAGUCUGAAGGCCUGAGAACCAGGGGAGCUGAUGGUGUAAAUCCAGUCUAAGUACAGGAGAAGAAUGACGUACCAGCUGAGCAGUCAGCCUCCUCAUGGACCAGCUCCUGAUGUAUCAAAAGUCCCGAAAAGCCCAGCCACCUGCUUCCUCAUUGGUGUUAUACCCAAGAACAGCCCAGCAAGCUUCUGGAUCCUAGAGUCGCUGUCAUCACUGUUCAUACAUAACCACCUCUUCCUGAUUCUCUUUGAAGAUUGCUGAGGGUCAAGCUUG
Molecule: long non-coding RNA, 443 nt
Organism: Balaenoptera musculus (blue whale)
Lineage: Eukaryota; Metazoa; Chordata; Mammalia; Artiodactyla; Balaenopteridae
Exons: 3
Source: RefSeq, a predicted model, not a curated record